UAGGGAAUCUUCGGCAAUGGACGAAAGUCUGACCGAGCAACGCCGCGUGAGUGAAGAAGGUUUUCGAAUCGUAAAACUCUGUUGGUAGAGAAGAACGUUGGCGAGAGUGGAAAGCUCAUCAAGUGACGGUAACUACCCAGAAAGGGACGGCUAACUACGUGCCCG
RNAcentral lists this ribosomal RNA (165 nucleotides) under uncultured bacterium. Its description in RNAcentral is "partial 16S rRNA". It matches the Rfam family "Bacterial small subunit ribosomal RNA", at positions 355 to 511 of the family's 1533-position model. The record is from RNAcentral.